AAAUACUAAUUGAUUUUUUUUUUUUUUUUUCAUAUGUAGAAUCGAGUCCGGCUAUGAUGCUUUUAAGUUUUCUGCCGUUAAAUCUACUAUUUUGAUCAUUUUCACCCGUUAGAUCAUACUAUUCAACCAACCAUCCACUCAACCAUAAGGAAUCGCUAUCAUCCUAACCGCAUAUCUCUUAAUUCAAAGGCCGAAAACCCACGAGCAUCAAUGACUUGAUACUUUUAAAAGUAUAUGAGCUCAGUUCCGUAGAACCGCCAAUUAUUUGCUA
Molecule: long non-coding RNA, 271 nt
Filed under: Ananas comosus (pineapple)
Lineage: Eukaryota; Viridiplantae; Streptophyta; Magnoliopsida; Poales; Bromeliaceae
Description: long non-coding RNA (ACOM_LNC015722)
Source: RNAcentral